RNAcentral lists this transfer RNA (74 nucleotides) under Operophtera brumata (winter moth). It matches the Rfam family "tRNA". From Rfam's summary of the family: Transfer RNA (tRNA) molecules are approximately 80 nucleotides in length. Their secondary structure includes four short double-helical elements and three loops (D, anti-codon, and T loops). Further hydrogen bonds mediate the characteristic L-shaped molecular structure. tRNAs have two regions of fundamental functional importance: the anti-codon, which is responsible for specific mRNA codon recognition, and the 3' end, to which the tRNAs corresponding amino acid is attached (by aminoacyl-tRNA synthetases). tRNAs cope with the degeneracy of the genetic code in two manners: having more than one tRNA (with a specific anti-codon) for a particular amino acid; and 'wobble' base-pairing, i.e. permitting non-standard base-pairing at the 3rd anti-codon position. The record is from Rfam by way of RNAcentral. Lineage: Eukaryota; Metazoa; Arthropoda; Insecta; Lepidoptera; Geometridae.
CGUUCUGUCGCCGAAUUGGUAAAAGGCAUCGCCGAUCACAGGCGAGGGUGCGGGUUCGAGUCCCGCUGGAACGA